CAAUAUCGCGAGAUGGAGCAAAUCCCUAAAAGCCAUCCCAGUUCGGAUCGCAGGCUGCAACCCGCCUGCGUGAAGUUGGAAUCGCUAGUAAUCGCGGAUCAGCAUGCCGCGGUGAAUACGUUCCCGGGCCUUGUACACACCGCCCGUCACACCAUGAGAGUCGGGAACACCCGAAGUCCGUAGCCUAACCGCAAGGGGGGCGCGGCCGAAGGUGGGUUCGAUAAUUGGGGUGAAGUCGUAACAAGGUACC
RNAcentral lists this ribosomal RNA (250 nucleotides) under uncultured bacterium. Its description in RNAcentral is "partial 16S ribosomal RNA". It matches the Rfam family "Bacterial small subunit ribosomal RNA", at positions 1250 to 1500 of the family's 1533-position model. The record is from RNAcentral.